ACGUAAGCUUAAUGGUUACAUUGUAAUUUCCAUAAAAAUCCAUGCCUACUUGUUUAGCAUCUUCCCUUCUUUCUUUUUCCAAAACUAGUAGCUGCUGUCUUAAAAUCUGGUGUGGAUCGCUCGAUAACAGUAGUCCGUGCACGCCUAGGUGUCACAAUCCUAUUCGUCUGUGCCCUUUAUAAAUAACCAUCAGUCUCACCCGUGAUAGGGUAGGUGUGAUGUGUAUCUGUAUGCUUUCUCUUUCUAUCAAUCUUUAUUCAGCAUCUAUAUCAGGAAGAGAGAGAAAAAGAAAUGGAGAGGGAGAGAGAGGGGAGGAGUUGAUUCUGUUACCGGCGGUCUCUAAUUCGCUUGGUGCAGGUCGGGAACUGAUUGGCUUCGCUUGUAUGUACUUGUGUGUACAGUAUGUACUUAAUCAAUGCCAGAUGGCGAGAUGUGAUUAGUUGAGAUGAAUGGAAGCGAAUUGGAUCCCGCCUUGCAUCAACUGAAUCGGAGACCGCGGUGAAGGGUUGCAUGGAUCUUGGUUGUAUCUCCGGUUACUGUUCAGAUCUCAGGAAAAGAUUCUAUCUUUACAUGGAACAGAAAAGGAAAGAACUUGUGCACGACAGAAUUCAAUCAAAAAAUCUUGCUUGCAGAUUGUUACUAUAAGCUGCAAGUUUUCAUUUUAUUUAAGGGUCCAUUUGGAUAGCAAGUAAUUUUCUGGAAAAUGUUCGAAUACAUUCUUUUGGUGAUUUAUAACUGCUGAUAAAUAUUGGAUUUUUUUGGUGCUUGCAAUUCUUGUUCGAAAUUUUUAUCUCAGUGCAGGGAUGCUGAUUCAUAUUAAGGAAACUUUUGAUGUUUCCGUUUUUGUUCAAUUUCAUAGAUACUAUGAUGUGAAUAUGUAUACCCCAGUUUAGAGUUAGACUGGACUGUUAACAGAAGGCAAAUUUGUUUAUGUUUAUUUUUAUUAUUAUUUUUUUUUUUUUGUGUGUAUUUGAAGUUAGGGGGAAAGGAAUAUGCUUUAAGUUUUAAGAUUAUCAUUACAGCUUAAAACUUUAAUGUUUGUAUGGAUGCAUAUAUGUAUGUUCAUGUAGCUAUUUAUUUACUUUGACAAUUUUUUCCACUGCUGCUAGGUUGUUUUGUGAUCCUGAUUGAGGUUACCUAUGUUCUUUGGAGUCUAUAUUGCUUUAAUCACAAGUUUUGUUAUGGUGUUCAUAACUGUUUUUGGAGCAAUAGGAUUACAUAAAUAAAAUAACAGCAUUUGCUCAUAAACCAUCUUAAACAAAAUCGAUGGGAACACAUGUUAUGUAUACAUUUCUACAAGUGGACAGUUAUAACAAAAAAGAUUCGUGGAUCCGCCAGAUCUUUUUUUUACCUCAUAGUUUCAACCGCAACUUGGUUGGUACUAUCUUAACUUUUUUUAGACAUUUAUGUACAAAUGCACACAUAUAUGGACUAGUUUUGCUCUUUCUAUGAGGUUAUACUCUACUUAAUGAGAAAGAUUGAGCCUUCACCAAAUGCUCACUUGUCCAUUGGAAUGUGAACUAUUUAGAUUCGCGUCCCUCUUUUGAUUGGUCUGUUCUUUCUGUCUCAGUUGAUACCCUGAAUAGGUGGUGCAAUACCUCAUUUUUCAAGCAUCCUUAUGCUUUCCCAAAACAAUCCUAUCACAAGUAUUCAGAGAACGUGUGUGAAUUAGGGUAUGUAUCACUGAUUAGGGUAUGUGGCAUUGUUGUUAUAUAUGUUGUUGAGAAAAUAAGCUUCUUCCUUAUGUUGAUUAGAGGCAGUGAGAACUUGUGUCAUACAUCCAAUACGUUUUGUCUUAAACCAAUUAACAGGUCCAAACUGCUUUUUGAAUAUUACCUAAAAGAUUGAUCUCAAAUAUCAUUUUCAACUUUAACUUCAAAACAGACACUUAGUCUUUAUGCUCUUUAUGGAAGUCAUUGUUGUUUUAGUAUGUUUAAAAAAUAGUUUCCUCUUAUGUUGCUUGUUUUUGAAAUUAUAGUAGGCAGAUUCUUAUUGAGAAGAUUCUCCUAGGCGACAAAGUUGAACCAUUGCAAUGCAUAAAAUAAUUUGUAUGUUGUCCUAAGUGCAGUAUGCCGAUAGGUGAAAUCUUCUGUGCACUAUAAUUUUGGGCUUGCAUUGGACUAGUUGAGUGGGGAAAGGAUGCUUUUUGUAUAACCAAUUUUCUUUAGUCUCAAUUGAUGGUCUGGGGUACAUGCAAGAACCUCUUUGCUUUGGUGGAAGCAAUGGAACUGCCAAAGUAGUUUCUGUUACUAUUAUGCAGGAACCAUGAUAGUAAUUGCUGUUACUAUUAUGGUCCAGUUAAGUUUCAUCUAUUUUACUGGCAUCCAAAUACGUAUGAGAAUUCUGGUUUGCUUUUAAGAGGAACGUUCCUUGAUAGCUCUUUAUUUUGAGGUGAUUUCUAUGUAAUAACAUUUUCCUGGACAUGUAUCAUGACUUGAAUGUUUAUUUACAUAGGAUUGUGUAUCUGUAGCAUUUUUUGCACUGUAAACUAAAACCUUCCGACUUUGAAAUGCAUUUCUAUGGUUGGCUAUACUUUCCUCCUCCUGUAUUGUAGUUGCCUCAAAAAAGAUGACAAGAAGCCAAACUGUGAUAUACCACUUUGUGAUAUCUAUCGGCUCUUAUCAAUGAGCUCUGGAUUUGAACUUCUGUUUUCUGUAUCUGGUAAUCUUCUUUUUUAUGCUUCAGAAUCUCUUUUUUUUCAUUAACACAAAUUGUUCUACUGUGUGUGUCAGUUAGCGGUAUCAGGAUGGAUAUCCAGAAUUUGAAUAUACAGGCCUGGUAAUCGAAUUUUAUUAUUUUAUACUAUACUGAACUUAACGUUUCCCUGCUUUGUAUGGAGCUGAGCAGAUUCUUUGUUAUGUCAUUCUCUUCCUUAAUUGGGCAGCAAGCAGCCCCCACAAAUCUAUAUUUCUAACUUUAGCAAAGGUUGUCUUGGUUGUGUGCAAGUGCUGCAUUUUGCCAAAUUGCUCUUUACCUUCUGAGAUGAUGAAAGGGAAUGAAAUUCAAAUUAAAAAAUUCACACAGCAAGGAUGCAUCUAAUGCGAAUCUGCAUUCACCACUUUUUGCUGCUUUUGCAUGUGAACUGAUUGUUUAUUACUUCACUUUUUUGGUUUGGUUAAAUGAUUCCAAUUUGACAUCUCUUUUUGUUUUCACAUGCAUUGAUGUGAUGAUAAUUACUUUGUGCUUGUGUUCUUUCAGUGUUAUUUGUUUGAUAAUUUGCUUUGUGUUCUUUUGUUCUACUUACCUUGAAUUGCGUGUUUGAGCUGCAGAGGCAUGAACCUGACAAAGCUGGACUAGUAGCAAAGCCACUUGACGAUAUGGAACUCUCUUUUUAAACAAUUAAAAUUCUUUAGACAAAUCCAAGGAUGGAAUAAUUUAUAGGACAAUCCAUCUAACUUGGAACCAUUUAUACCGAUAUAUUUGUCUAUUUAAUAUUUUGUUUCCCCCUAAAUUUAAAUCUUGGCUUUGCCCUGAGCAGGACUAGGACUACACUUCUGAGAUGGCAACUUGAAGUUCACAAUUCAACGGCUGAGGAAUGAAUGGAAGAAUAUCAUGCAUUGAUUAGGUUUGAUUUCAAAUGGCAGGGUCAUCCAUCCAACAUAUUUGUGUGUAUUAUUUUGUACUUGGGAGUGAAGAAAACGAAAUUUUAAAAUUUUUUAUCGUAGCUUAUGCUUGUGUUAGAUGUCCAUUUGAAUGGGCAUCCUUUCAAUAUAAUAGUAAAGAUAUUUACUGAUUUCCAACUCGAUCAGACGACAGGAAAAAAAAAGGUCGUUUAUUGCUUACUAUUGUUUUUCAAAUGGUAUACGAUGGGAAUAUUGUAACUAUGACUAUGGUCGUUUAACUAAUGGGAUGCAUGAACUAGCUUCUUUAAAUUCAA
This is a long non-coding RNA of Jatropha curcas, 3877 nucleotides long. RefSeq lists it as uncharacterized. The record is from RefSeq and is a predicted model, not a curated record. NCBI's taxonomy places the organism in Eukaryota, Viridiplantae, Streptophyta, Magnoliopsida, Malpighiales, Euphorbiaceae.